UGGGUUGAUAAUGACCACUGGUGGUGCACGAGUCAUGGAUUAUAACUACAGGUCUGGAGGUCUCAGGUCCAU
This is a small nucleolar RNA of Nannospalax galili (Upper Galilee mountains blind mole rat), 72 nucleotides long. RefSeq annotates it as small nucleolar RNA SNORD113/SNORD114 family. The record is from RefSeq and is a predicted model, not a curated record. The transcript has a single exon. NCBI's taxonomy places the organism in Eukaryota, Metazoa, Chordata, Mammalia, Rodentia, Spalacidae.